Non-coding RNA from Vicia faba (fava bean), 213 nucleotides. NCBI's taxonomy places the organism in Eukaryota, Viridiplantae, Streptophyta, Magnoliopsida, Fabales, Fabaceae. The record is from the annotation of a GenBank genome assembly.
AUGUUGAAGAUUGAAGUUGAGAGAUUGAGUUUGUUAGAGCUGAGUGAUCCUGAGCCAUUGGAUUUGAAUUUCGGUUACAGGAUUGAACGGGUCUGCUUUGAUGAUGAGUUAUGGUUUUGGCAUGGUGUACAUGGCAUGGACGUCUCAAAAGGUAAGAAAGUGAAGAAACUUGAUGGAAUAAUAACAAGAUGGAAGCUUGAAGUUAGACUUUAG